This 252-nucleotide ribosomal RNA is filed under the name uncultured bacterium. Its description in RNAcentral is "partial 16S ribosomal RNA". It matches the Rfam family "Bacterial small subunit ribosomal RNA", at positions 524 to 776 of the family's 1533-position model. The record is from RNAcentral.
UACGUAGGCCCCGAGCGUUGUCCGGAUUUAUUGGGCGUAAAGCGAGCGCAGGUGGUUUAUUAAGUCUGGUGUAAAAGGCAGUGGCUCAACCAUUGUAUGCAUUGGAAACUGGUAGACUUGAGUGCAGGAGAGGAGAGUGGAAUUCCAUGUGUAGCGGUGAAAUGCGUAGAUAUAUGGAGGAACACCGGUGGCGAAAGCGGCUCUCUGGCCUGUAACUGACACUGAGGCUCGAAAGCGUGGAGAGCAAACAGG